Molecule: long non-coding RNA, 351 nt
Filed under: Gallus gallus (chicken)
Lineage: Eukaryota; Metazoa; Chordata; Aves; Galliformes; Phasianidae
Source: RNAcentral
AUAAAAUGUUGAUUUCCCUCCUGUUUAAAUGCUCCGUAUUGACAACAUCUAGUUCAGUACCUACCUGAGAAGUGGCAGAAUCAAAACCACCGCUGACACAGCCAUCGCAGUUUUCACAAGAAAAGUGCCGAUCAUUGAAAACAGUGCAGCCAGAUUGCUUCAUGGCCGCAAUAAGCAGUUGAGCAUAUGGAUCUGUUGUGGAAGGUGAAGAGGCUGCGAACCAGGAAGCUCUGCGGCUCUUUGUUGCGAUCGGGGAAGAGCCGGUAUCCGAAGUCAUCCUCCUCCUCCCCACCCUCAGCACCAGGCGGCGAAGCAGUCUUCCCGUCCUCCAUUGCCGUCCCCUACUCCCUC